Molecule: ribosomal RNA, 25 nt
Filed under: Ficus religiosa (bo tree)
Lineage: Eukaryota; Viridiplantae; Streptophyta; Magnoliopsida; Rosales; Moraceae
Also listed under: 2 other names
Description: partial 28S ribosomal RNA
Source: RNAcentral
CAACGCGACCCCAGGUCAGGCGGGG